UCUUGUAUCUUUUAAAAGACCUAGUUAAUAGGUAUGCUUUAGGAGGGGCUUGCGCCAUAUUAGUUAGUUGGUAGGGUAAUGGCCUACCAAGACGAUGAUGUGUAGCUGGACUGAGAGGUUGAACAGCCACAUUGGGACUGAGACACGGCCCAAACUCCUACGGGAGGCAGCAGUAGGGAAUUUUCGGCAAUGGAGGAAACUCUGGCCGAGCAACGCCCCGGGAAGGACAAAUUAUCUCGGUAUGUAAAGUUCUUUUAUCGAGGAAGAAAAGCAAAUGGCGAACCAUUUGUUUCCCGGUACUUGAAGAAUAAGCCCCGGCUAAUUAUGUGCCAGCAGCCGCGGUAAGACAUAAGGGGCAAGUGUUAUCCGGAAUUAUUGGGCGUAAAGGGUGCGUAGGCGGUCUAGUAAGUCAGUGGUGUAAUGGCAACGCUUAACGUUGUCCGGCUAUUGAAACUGCUAAACUUGAGUUAGAUAGAGCCGAGUGGAACUCCAUGUGUAGCGGUAAAAUGCGUAAAUAUAUGGAGGAACACCAGAGGCGUAGGCGGCUCGCUGGGUCUUAACUGACGCUGAGGCACGAAAGCGUGGGGAGCAAACAGGAUUAGAUACCCUGGUAGUCCACGCCGUAAACGAUGAGUACUAAGUGUCGGGUUAAACCGGUACUGAAGUUAACACAUUAAGUACUCCGCCUGAGUAGUACGUACGCAAGUAUGAAACUUAAAGGAAUUGACGGGACUCCGCACAAGCGGUGGAUCAUGUUGUUUAAUUCGAAGAUACCCGAAAAACCUUACCAGGUCUUGACAUGUUUUUGCAAAAUGAUAGUAAUAUCGUGGAGGUUACCAGAAACACAGGUGGUGCAUGGUUGUCGUCAGCUCGUGUCGUGAGAUGUUAGGUUAAGUCCUAAAACGAGCGAAACCCUUAUCGUUAGUUGCCAGCACGUUAUGGUGGGGACUUUAACGAGACUGCCAAUGAUAAAUUGGAGGAAGGUGAGGAUCACGUCAAAUCAGCAUGCCCCUUAUGACCUGGGCUACAAACGUGAUACAAUGGCUGUUACAAAGGGUAGCUGAAACGCAAGUUCUUGGCCAAUCCCCAAAAACAGUCCCAGUCCGGAUUGAAGUCUGCAACUCGACUUCAUGAAGUUGGAAUCGCUAGUAAUCGCGAAUCAGCAUGUCGCGGUGAAUACGUUCUCGGGGUUUGUACACACCGCCCGUCAAACCACGAAAGUUGGCAAUACCCCAAAACGGUAGCCUAACUCGUUUAUUCGAG
Molecule: ribosomal RNA, 1263 nt
Filed under: 'Chrysanthemum morifolium' phyllody phytoplasma
Lineage: Bacteria; Bacillati; Mycoplasmatota; Mollicutes; Acholeplasmatales; Acholeplasmataceae
Description: bacterial SSU rRNA
Rfam family: Bacterial small subunit ribosomal RNA
Source: RNAcentral